UGGUGAAAGAGAACUGAAGGAACCAAAGAAAACCUAAAAGCUUGAGAGGAGAAAUUAAGCCAAGCCAAAGAGCAGUGUGUGGUCUUGAUCCUCAGCACUGUGAACCCACAGCUUGACACGUCAGAUUCCUGUCUUACUGCAGAAGCAAAGCUGUAUUUUCCUCCAUUGCUGUGGAGAGACUUUUCUGAUGUUGGUCCUGGUGUCACAUGAUGGCUGAGGUCAGAAGGCUGCGUAUCGGCGUGUGCAGGCUCCUUAUACCUGAAGAAAGCCCACCAUCAAUUCCUUUCCUUCAAAUCAUGAGGGCAGACCCCGAAGAGCAGUGUCUGUCAUUGUCCAGCGACU
Meriones unguiculatus (Mongolian gerbil) is the source of this 342-nucleotide long non-coding RNA. RefSeq lists it as uncharacterized. The record is from RefSeq and is a predicted model, not a curated record. Lineage: Eukaryota; Metazoa; Chordata; Mammalia; Rodentia; Muridae. The transcript has 3 exons.